RNAcentral lists this long non-coding RNA (270 nucleotides) under Elaeis guineensis (African oil palm). RNAcentral describes it as "long non-coding RNA (EGUI_LNC065825)". The record is from RNAcentral. Lineage: Eukaryota; Viridiplantae; Streptophyta; Magnoliopsida; Arecales; Arecaceae.
CUAGAUCAUCUAUCACUUUGAAGUAUCCAAGGUGCUUGUAGAAGAAGAAAGAGGUCAGCUGUCGAAGUUAUUCGCAGACUAGCAUCUCCGAGCCCCUGAUCUGUGCCAGUCUUUAUGUGGAUUUUCUAUAGAGGCCAAAUGACUUCGUGUGGCUGCGAGCAACUUGAGGAACACCCUCUCCAAUUGUUGGAUCAAAGGAGAUCAUGAUCAAAAUUUGUUUGAUAACGACCUCUAACUUAUUUUGAUUCCUAUGGUAGAUAUAAUAGUUAG